UAACUGAAGAGUUUGAUCAUGGCUCAGAUUGAACGCUGGCGGCAGGCUUAACACAUGCAAGUCGAGCGGGGGAAGGUAGCUUGCUACUGGACCUAGCGGCGGACGGGUGAGUAAUGCUUAGGAAUCUGCCUAUUAGUGGGGGACAACAUCUCGAAAGGGAUGCUAAUACCGCAUACGUCCUACGGGAGAAAGCAGGGGAUCUUCGGACCUUGCGCUAAUAGAUGAGCCUAAGUCGGAUUAGCUAGUUGGUGGGGUAAAGGCCUACCAAGGCGACGAUCUGUAGCGGGUCUGAGAGGAUGAUCCGCCACACUGGGACUGAGACACGGCCCAGACUCCUACGGGAGGCAGCAGUGGGGAAUAUUGGACAAUGGG
RNAcentral lists this ribosomal RNA (372 nucleotides) under Acinetobacter baumannii. RNAcentral's name for it is "bacterial SSU rRNA". It matches the Rfam family "Bacterial small subunit ribosomal RNA", at positions 1 to 375 of the family's 1533-position model. RNAcentral also lists the same sequence under 1 other name. Lineage: Bacteria; Pseudomonadati; Pseudomonadota; Gammaproteobacteria; Moraxellales; Moraxellaceae. The record is from RNAcentral.